AAGGGACAAGCCGAAAACCCUUAACAGAGUAGGCA
Mucilaginibacter pedocola is the source of this 35-nucleotide regulatory RNA element. It matches the Rfam family "DUF805b RNA". Rfam says of the family: Bacteroidetes, Chlorobi (1 example), Proteobacteria. Lineage (Flavobacteria) The record is from Rfam. NCBI's taxonomy places the organism in Bacteria, Pseudomonadati, Bacteroidota, Sphingobacteriia, Sphingobacteriales, Sphingobacteriaceae.